GAGAGAACGAGGGGGAAAAUAUCCCCUCAUUUGAGAUAAUUUCACUGAAUCGUUGCUGUGUUCUCCCCUCAGGGCAAGGUGAGACGUGUCCUGGAAAUAUGUUAGAGAGAGGAGAGAGGGCAUCCAGGAGCUGAAAGCAAAGAUGAGGCAGUCUUCAAAAACUGCUGGCCUGGGAAAAUCCAGAUUUGGAAGGGAAAUCAGUUUGCAGUCCUAUUGGUUUGGGGCCAUCCCCACAGAAGGCCUUCCUUCCUCCUUGCACCAUCUCAAAACCUUUCUCCUCUUCUUCUCCUCACUGUUGGGAUUCUCCUCAGAUCCCUGCUGCCUUUAGAAUGGAAGCAGAAGGUGAAAAAAAUGGCAGCACUGCUUGGAAUCUUAGGCUCCAUCUGCACUAUACAUGUCUUCUUCUAAUUCUUCUUUGGCGAGUAAGAUUGUCUUCCAUAAACACGGUUUUAACAAUGAGUCAGUAAGUGACUGUAGAGGCCAAUUCUGGAUCCACACAUCCUUCCACAGUGGGGACAUUGGUUAAAGCACAAUGAGCCCCCUUUAAACAGACAUGGCUCCCCACCCAAAAUAUUCUGGGAGCUGUAGUUUGUUCAGGGUGCUGACAGUUAUUAGGAGGCCUGUCUUCUCCUCAAAGAGCCUCCUGGGAAGAGGGCUAGAUAGUUAAUCUGUUCUGGGAACUGUUGCUCUGUGAGGGGAAUACGGGUUUUCUAACAACUCUCAGCACCCUGAACAAACUACCCUUAAUAAACUACCUUUCCCAGCAUUCUCUGAGGGAAGCCAUAACUGUUUAAAUCAGUGGUUUUUAACCAGUGUGCCGUGGACCCUGGGGUGCCUUGAACAAUGGUCAGGGGUGCUGUAGGGAAGGUGUUCAAAAAGGGUGAGAGGCUGCCAGCUCUGCAGGCAAGGGGUGACAUAACUGGGCCCCUGGGCCCCACGGGGUGCCUCAGAAAGAAUGUAGUUGGUUAGGGGAGCCAUGGACUCAAAAAGGUUGAAAACCUCUGCUUUAAAGUGGUCUCAUAGUGGUUUAAAUCGAUGAUGCAGAUGGGGCCUCAGAUUACAGCAGCACACUCCUGCUUUUAAGUGGCUACAAAACCACAAUUCCAAGGUGUUAACCGAGCCUUAGAAACACACAACCAGAAUUCUACCAUCAUAUUUUAAUUUUUUAAUAAAAAAAAUAGUCAAUGAAAACACUUAUUGCUCAUUCACUGCCCCCAAAGAUGACCAAAUGUGAAUCUGAUUGACUUCUGCGGCAAUUAAAGGCAGAAGAUCUCAAUGUAUGGGAAUACAAACAAAUGUCAAUAAACUUUUAAUGUGCUAUUCAA
RNAcentral lists this long non-coding RNA (1325 nucleotides) under Podarcis lilfordi (Lilford's wall lizard). The record is from RNAcentral. Lineage: Eukaryota; Metazoa; Chordata; Lepidosauria; Squamata; Lacertidae.